GGGAGUAGGGUCCAGCUCAGUAGUAGAGUACAUACUUAGCAUGCAUGAGGUCCUGGGUUCAAUCCCCAGUACCUCCA
This is a non-coding RNA of Camelus ferus (Wild Bactrian camel), 77 nucleotides long. The record is from Rfam. NCBI's taxonomy places the organism in Eukaryota, Metazoa, Chordata, Mammalia, Artiodactyla, Camelidae.